CCUACGGGAGGCAGCAGUGGGGAAUAUUUGGCAAUGGGCGCAAGCCUGACCCAGCAACGCCGCGUGAAGGAAGAAGGCUUUCGGGUUGUAAACUUCUUUUCUGAGGGACGAAGAAAGUGACGGUACCUCAGGAAUAAGCCACGGCUAACUACGUGCCAGCAGCCGCGGUAAUACGUAGGUGGCAAGCGUGAUUCGGAUUUAUUGGGUGUAAAGGGCGUGUAGGCGGGAAAGCAAGUCAGCUGUGAAAACUCAGGGCUCAACCCUGGGCCUGCAUUUGAAACUGUUAUUCUUGAGUGCUGGAGGGGCAAUCGGAAUGCCGUGUGUAGCGGUGAAAUGCGUAGAUAUACGGAGGAACACCAGUGGCGAAGGCGGAUUGCUGGACAGUAACUGACGCUGAGGCGCGAAAGCGUGGGGAGCGAACAGGAUUAGAUACCCUAGUAGUC
This 443-nucleotide ribosomal RNA is filed under the name uncultured bacterium. RNAcentral's name for it is "partial 16S ribosomal RNA". It matches the Rfam family "Bacterial small subunit ribosomal RNA", at positions 338 to 795 of the family's 1533-position model. The record is from RNAcentral.